RNAcentral lists this ribosomal RNA (433 nucleotides) under uncultured bacterium. RNAcentral's name for it is "partial 16S ribosomal RNA". It matches the Rfam family "Bacterial small subunit ribosomal RNA", at positions 29 to 507 of the family's 1533-position model. The record is from RNAcentral.
AACGAACGCUGGCGGCAUGCCUAACACAUGCAAGUCGAACGAGACCUUCGGGUCUAGUGGCGCACGGGUGCGUAACGCGUGGGAACCUGCCCUUAGGUUCGGAAUAACUUCCCGAAAGGGGUGCUAAUACCGGAUAAUGUCUUCGGACCAAAGAUUUAUCGCCUUUGGAUGGGCCCGCGUUGGAUUAGCUAGUUGGUAGGGUAAAAGCCUACCAAGGCGACGAUCCAUAGCUGGUCUGAGAGGAUGAUCAGCCACACUGGGACUGAGACACGGCCCAGACCCCUACGGGAGGCAGCAGUGGGGAAUAUUGGACAAUGGGCGAAAGCCUGAUCCAGCAAUGCCGCGUGAGUGAUGAAGGCCUUAGGGUUGUAAAGCUCUUUUACCCGGGAUGAUAAUGACAGUACCGGGAGAAUAAGCUCCGGCUAACUCCGUG